This 1459-nucleotide ribosomal RNA is filed under the name uncultured organism. RNAcentral's name for it is "SSU rRNA". It matches the Rfam family "Bacterial small subunit ribosomal RNA". The record is from RNAcentral.
GCUCAGAUUGAACGCUGGCGGCAGGCCUAACACAUGCAAGUCGAGCGGUAGCACAGAGAGCUUGCUCUCGGGUGACGAGCGGCGGACGGGUGAGUAAUGUCUGGGAAACUGCCUGAUGGAGGGGGAUAACUACUGGAAACGGUAGCUAAUACCGCAUAAUGUCGCAAGACCAAAGUGGGGGACCUUCGGGCCUCAUGCCAUCAGAUGUGCCCAGAUGGGAUUAGCUAGUAGGUGGGGUAACGGCUCACCUAGGCGACGAUCCCUAGCUGGUCUGAGAGGAUGACCAGCCACACUGGAACUGAGACACGGUCCAGACUCCUACGGGAGGCAGCAGUGGGGAAUAUUGCACAAUGGGCGCAAGCCUGAUGCAGCCAUGCCGCGUGUGUGAAGAAGGCCUUCGGGUUGUAAAGCACUUUCAGCGGGGAGGAAGGCGUUAAGGUUAAUAACCUUGGCGAUUGACGUUACCCGCAGAAGAAGCACCGGCUAACUCCGUGCCAGCAGCCGCGGUAAUACGGAGGGUGCAAGCGUUAAUCGGAAUUACUGGGCGUAAAGCGCACGCAGGCGGUCUGUCAAGUCGGAUGUGAAAUCCCCGGGCUCAACCUGGGAACUGCAUUCGAAACUGGCAGGCUAGAGUCUUGUAGAGGGGGGUAGAAUUCCAGGUGUAGCGGUGAAAUGCGUAGAGAUCUGGAGGAAUACCGGUGGCGAAGGCGGCCCCCUGGACAAAGACUGACGCUCAGGUGCGAAAGCGUGGGGAGCAAACAGGAUUAGAUACCCUGGUAGUCCACGCCGUAAACGAUGUCGAUUUGGAGGUUGUGCCCUUGAGGCGUGGCUUCCGGAGCUAACGCGUUAAAUCGACCGCCUGGGGAGUACGGCCGCAAGGUUAAAACUCAAAUGAAUUGACGGGGGCCCGCACAAGCGGUGGAGCAUGUGGUUUAAUUCGAUGCAACGCGAAGAACCUUACCUGGUCUUGACAUCCACAGAACUUAGCAGAGAUGCUUUGGUGCCUUCGGGAACUGUGAGACAGGUGCUGCAUGGCUGUCGUCAGCUCGUGUUGUGAAAUGUUGGGUUAAGUCCCGCAACGAGCGCAACCCUUAUCCUUUGUUGCCAGCGGUCCGGCCGGGAACUCAAAGGAGACUGCCAGUGAUAAACUGGAGGAAGGUGGGGAUGACGUCAAGUCAUCAUGGCCCUUACGACCAGGGCUACACACGUGCUACAAUGGCAUAUACAAAGAGAAGCGACCUCGCGAGAGCAAGCGGACCUCAUAAAGUAUGUCGUAGUCCGGAUUGGAGUCUGCAACUCGACUCCAUGAAGUCGGAAUCGCUAGUAAUCGUAGAUCAGAAUGCUACGGUGAAUACGUUCCCGGGCCUUGUACACACCGCCCGUCACACCAUGGGAGUGGGUUGCAAAAGAAGUAGGUAGCUUAACCUUCGGGAGGGCGCUUACCACUUUGUGAUUCAUG